RNAcentral lists this ribosomal RNA (1400 nucleotides) under uncultured bacterium. Its description in RNAcentral is "bacterial SSU rRNA". It matches the Rfam family "Bacterial small subunit ribosomal RNA". The record is from RNAcentral.
AUCCUGGCUCAGGACGAACGCUGGCGGCGUGCCUAAUACAUGCAAGUAGAACGCUGAAGAGAGGAGCUUGCUCUUCUUGGAUGAGUUGCGAACGGGUGAGUAACGCGUAGGUAACCUGCCUUGUAGCGGGGGAUAACUAUUGGAAACGAUAGCUAAUACCGCAUAACAAUGGAUGACACAUGUCAUUUAUUUGAAAGGGGCAAUUGCUCCACUACAAGAUGGACCUGCGUUGUAUUAGCUAGUAGGUGAGGUAAUGGCUCACCUAGGCGACGAUACAUAGCCGACCUGAGAGGGUGAUCGGCCACACUGGGACUGAGACACGGCCCAGACUCCUACGGGAGGCAGCAGUAGGGAAUCUUCGGCAAUGGGGGCAACCCUGACCGAGCAACGCCGCGUGAGUGAAGAAGGUUUUCGGAUCGUAAAGCUCUGUUGUAAGUCAAGAACGGGUGUGAGAGUGGAAAGUUCACACUGUGACGGUAGCUUACCAGAAAGGGACGGCUAACUACGUGCCAGCAGCCGCGGUAAUACGUAGGUCCCGAGCGUUGUCCGGAUUUAUUGGGCGUAAAGCGAGCGCAGGCGGUUUGAUAAGUCUGAAGUUAAAGGCUGUGGCUCAACCAUAGUUCGCUUUGGAAACUGUCAAAACCUGAGUGCAGAAGGGGAGAGUGGAAUUCCAUGUGUAGCGGUGAAAUGCGUAGAUAUAUGGAGGAACACCGGUGGCGAAAGCGGCUCUCUGGUCUGUAACUGACGCUGAGGCUCGAAAGCGGGGGGAGCGAACAGGAUUAGAUACCCUGGUAGUCCACGCCGUAAACGAUGAGUGCUAGGUGUUGGAUCCUUUCCGGGAUUCAGUGCCGCAGCUAACGCAUUAAGCACUCCGCCUGGGGAGUACGACCGCAAGGUUGAAACUCAAAGGAAUUGACGGGGGCCCGCACAAGCGGUGGAGCAUGUGGCUUAAUUCGAAGCAACGCGAAGAACCUUACCAGGUCUUGACAUCCCGAUGCUAUUUCUAGAGAUAGAAAGCUACUUCGGUACAUCGGUGACAGGUGGUGCAUGGUUGUCGUCAGCUCGUGUCGUGAGAUGUUGGGUUAAGUCCCGCAACGAGCGCAACCCCUAUUGUUAGUUGCCAUCAUUCAGUUGGGCACUCUAGCGAGACUGCCGGUAAUAAACCGGAGGAAGGUGGGGAUGACGUCAAAUCAUCAUGCCCCUUAUGACCUGGGCUACACACGUGCUACAAUGGUUGGUACAACGAGUUGCGAGUCGGUGACGGCGAGCUAAUCUCUUAAAGCCAAUCUCAGUUCGGAUUGUAGGCUGCAACUCGCCUACAUGAAGUCGGAAUCGCUAGUAAUCGCGGAUCAGCACGCCGCGGUGAAUACGUUCCCGGGCCUUGCACUCACCGCCCGUCA